Molecule: long non-coding RNA, 889 nt
Organism: Pollicipes pollicipes
Lineage: Eukaryota; Metazoa; Arthropoda; Thecostraca; Pollicipedomorpha; Pollicipedidae
Exons: 3
Source: RefSeq, a predicted model, not a curated record
CGGCCACGCGCGCCGUCAGGGACACCGCCGCCAGGGCGCCGCUGUCCGGCGGCGGCCAGUACUCCCGCGACGCCCGGCCGGUCAACAGCGGCCAGUCGGACGAGCUCAAGGGCCGGCUCUCGCUGCUGGAGCGCGAGCUGAUGAGCGAACAGGCCAAGCGCGAGCUGCUGGAGUCACAGGUCUAUCAGCUGAGCUCCGACAACCGCAGACUGCAGGAGGAGAGCAAGCAGGCUGCUCACCAGCUGCGCAAAUUCACCGAGUGGUUCUUCAAUAACAUUGAGAAGCCAUGACCGCCUCGCUGCUCCCCGGCGCGGGCUUUGGCUGUAGGUGGCGCUAGCAGCGGCAGCAUAGGCGGCGCUAACGGCGUCGUCCGUCAGUUCUGGCAAGGGACCACGGCCGGACCGGACUUGUUGGUGCCGGCCGGCUUAGGUUUACAAAGUGCAGCUAAGCGCCAGCGAUGAUUGAUUUGGUUUUGUUAUGUUGUCAGUCGUCACUUGUGAGCGUUUUUACGUCUGUCGCCAAAGAAGCAGAGAUUUAGGGAUAUGAAUGCAUGAAUAGGCAUGCUUACUUAGUUGUUUCCGCUAAGCUCGGUAGCUAUUUAAGUUCAGUUAGAAGGCGCUUUGACCUUUGUUCUUUGGCUGUGGAGUCAUCACAAUGCUCCAACCAUUGCUCACAUGUGAGUGAAACGUGGAGACUGAAAAGCGGUUUGCGUCUGUUUCUUCGUGUAUCCUCAAUGCGUCUCGUUGAUGUACGAAAGCACUGACUUCUUGCUUCUGUGGAGUAGCUGAGUCUGCCUCGGUCAGAAUCUAGUCCGUGCCUAUUUUUGUAACGUGCGAUGAUCGGAGCUCGUGGAACGAGGGUUUUGUAAAUACAAAACGAGAUCGUUUCA